RNAcentral lists this microRNA precursor (58 nucleotides) under Drosophila simulans. RNAcentral's name for it is "Dsi-Mir-2582-P1_pre stem-loop". The record is from RNAcentral. Lineage: Eukaryota; Metazoa; Arthropoda; Insecta; Diptera; Drosophilidae.
UUCACAGUGUUCCUAAUAGAUAGUUAUUAUUACACUAUCUUUAGCAACACUUUUGAGA